GGUCCUGGGCGUGAGGGGAUCGGUGGGGAGAGGUCGUUGGUCAGGUGGGCUCUUGUGAGAAGGGGGUUAGCCGGCUGUGAGGGCUUGUAUGAGGAGGAACCUUUGGUGUGAGGAGCUCUUGGGGAGGGCUCAUUGGUGUGAGGAGAGAGUAACCAGCUGUGACGAGUUUUGCCAGGAGGGGUUUUGGCAUGGGGGGCGGUUUUAGGGGACAGGUGAGGGGUUGCUGAGGGACAGGAGAACAAGAGAGAGCUGGCAUGAGGGGGUGCUGAGGGGAGUUUGGGAAAGAGGUUCUGUGGAAACCCCAUGUGGGACACUGAGGGCAGAGAGGGGCCUGAGGGAGAAGAUGGUGAGGAGCUGUUGCUGAGACCAUUUGAGCUCGGCCACAGUUUUGGGAGGCAGCAGGCCUGAGAAAAGGUGUGGGGGAAUAGAGAGAUGGGGGCCUCAGCAAUGGGGUACAUGUGGCCUGGACAUGGGUAGGGAGAAGAGGGGUAGGGGAGAGGCCUGGCAUAGGUGGCAGGGGACAGUGGGUUUGGGGCAGGCUGGCUGGAGGACAUGGAGCCGAGUGGAGCUGCCUGUGGCCAGGAGCAGCUCAGCUACAGGCAGUGACAAUCCCAGAAGGUGGUAGGUGACUGCUCUAGUGCAAGUGCCCUCACCGAAUGGGUGUAUUUCAGCCUGCCCUUGGCCAAGCUGUAUCUAGGUUGUGGCCAGAAGAAGGGAAAAAAAUCUCAUGGGCUGAGCACAUGGUCUCCUAAACUGUACUCUUGGCUCUCAGUGGUGGGGUGUUGAACUUGGUAGGUUGUUGAGCCUUUGUGUGCUUUGGUAUCUCCAUCUACGAAGCAGAGAUAACAGUUAGAUUCAUGCAGGGAUUAAUUAUCACAUCUUGUAGUAACGUGUUUGUUUAUUUGUUUUUACUGUAGAUUACAGCUGGAGGAAUUCUAAACAGUCCACUUCUCCUUGUCAUGGUGUUUGGGCGCAUUGUGCUCGGGUCUGAACAGAGGAAAUCACUGAGAGCUGGUCCUGGAGUAGACCCAUGUGACAUUGCAGUAUGGACAGGAGCUUUAAGAGCACGCACCACCUCUCCAUGAUAUUGUAGGAGCGGAAGUAGAGAACAAUGAUAUCUGCUGCUACUUGAACUGAAAGUGAAAUCCCUGGCUGUUGGUCUGGUUGCUGUUCUUAGAACCUGUGAAUGUCUGCUCCUGUUUUGCUCUAGGUAAUUUUUGUAUGUGGCAAAGUUUUCUGUGUCAUCCUGGAAGCUUUGUCCAUAAGUAGCAAGAGUUAUGGUCUCUUGGUUUCUCAAAGCUACAGCUCCUCACUGGUUCCACAGACCUGCUUUGUCAGAGUGUCAGUAACUUUGUAGAAGUCACUGCAUCCUCUGCUGUGCUUGGGAUGAACUCUGGCACCUGUCUGAAUGUAGGUACAUCCCUCCUGCAGAUCUGCUUUUCUUAUCCAGACUUUGACCUGGUGAGUUUCUUCUCCUACCCUUUGCCUUAGGUAGAUGGUAGUAUGACUUCUGCAUUUCUUAAUACUGUUUUAUCUUGAGUCUGGGAACAUGGAUCAUUAUUAUUUUAGGGUGGGGGAAGAGGGCAAAAAUCCUGUUCUGAGUAGAUAUAUUUUACAUUCUGGUCCUUCUUUAAGGAAGGUGUAGCAGGUCACAGAAUUAAGGCAUGCAUUUCCUUUGUAAGGAAAAAAUAGGCAACCUUAGGCGUUUUUAUCCAUGAUUCCUUACAGACAGAGAUAAGACACUUUUUUGUGAAUCCAUGGUGAAAUAAGUUGAUGAAUCUGCCCAUUUUCUAGUAUUAAGCACUGUGCAUGUGCACACAAAAUACAUCUAGUUCUAAAAAAUAAUGUCUCUAAUGUUCUUUGUGCAGAGACCAGGGCCUGGAUGAUGUUUUGAGACUAGGCCUACCUUUUCUGGAUGAUCUGAUGGAUCCACAUUGUGAUGCACUAGGAUGUAAGAGAUGGAAGCCCCAUAGAAGUGCCAUUCAUGUUGCAUUCAUCUGUGGGGAUGGUUGCUUAAAUGAUUGAUCUAAUAUUUGAAGUCCUAUUGCUUGAUUUAUGUCUUGAUUUUUAGUAUCUUUCUUUCACAUAGUAAAGCAUACCUGAGGUUCUAGUAAAAUUCUGCUCCUGAAUCAAGCUCAAACCUCAUUGCUGCUCCCUGCCUUCAGCUGGAAAUGGACAGACAACAUUUGUGACUGAAUAUCCUGAGUCACCGAUUCCCAGCUGGCAUGUGCACUGCAGUUCCAUCUCUUCCUUUCCGACUGCUCUCCCUAGAGGAGAUUUGGAACAACUGCAGUCGUCAGCUCCAGCGCGGUGUGUGUGCUUGCCGGGAUCCACACAAUUGGUGGAUAACCCCUGUCUACGUCUAUGGGGUCACCAGUGUUUGCCUGGGACAGUUCAUCCUGUUAGCAGGCACUGAUCCGGCUGUGGAGGAGAUAUGUGGCUUGUGCUGAUUCAUGAAAGCAAGUGCAAGUUGCAUCAGCGAAAAAAGGAGUGGCUCACCUUAGAAGCAUUAUGAAGCAGAGGACUGGAGAUCCUAAACAGUAGCUGCAGUGGAGCCAUUUCCAGGAGGUCAAAGUCUACUGCAAGCAGUGACCGGUACAAUUCCCUGUCUGCCUCUAGAGAGAGAAGACUUUAAAGAGACCAGCUUUGUACCUAUAAAUAAUGUACACAGCAGAGUACAAAAAUGGAGUCAAGGAGAAGCUCCUCCUUACCUGAACCUAACUGCAGCAGCUGUGUGAGAAUAGCUGUGGUCAGGCUGUGAGUAGCACUCAUACCCUGUCAUCCAUCUUGACUAAACUGCUUCUGAGAACUAAUUCUGGGAUUCCAACACUUGAAUAUCAACUGGUAAAUCACAACUGCCUUGUACUGAACCAUUAGAUGCCAGCAGCCAAAUGUGGCAAGGUUUUGAACAGUGUGGUUAUAAUCCUACUUGGAACUAAAGGUCUGCUGGAGUGUUUGUUAAAUUGGAUGUGUUGGAAUAUGGAGGAUUUCGCAAGUCUGAACCCCUGCUAUAAAUGAAAACACUGUGGCAAAAAAAUGUAAAUAAAUGCCACACAUACUUUGUGUAAGAGCCCUUACCAAAAUCUAUAAAUAUUGUAAUUUUGGUGUUUACCAAUUUUGAGUUUUAAACAGGAGACAGACACGUGAAAUAUUACAAUGCAAGCAUUUUAUUUUUUUCAUGGAUUAAUUUUAUAAUUUGACUUUUAACUUACCUUAAAAGAGUUAAUGGAAACUAAAUGUAGUGUUUUAAAGAGGAUUGCCUUUGAAAGGAAAUAAUUUGUUCUUGAAAAAAUAACUACACUAGCUUCUCAGUUUAACUGCAUUUUAAUAUGAACACAAAGCUCAUCCCAGGUUAGACUCUCCAGGAAAACUUUCUCAUGAUUACUGUAGCAGUUGAUUCAUUCCUUGCUGACUUAAUUCUGCAGCUUUAAAUGGUAGGUUCUCUGCAAAGCCAUCCACUUCAAAGCUUCAUAAAACAGAGCUUUGAAUAAAUUACUGAGUUAGAAAUUAUACUGGCUGUGCCCUGUUUUGUGCCUGGAUGUGGGAAUACUUGGCACUGGCUGUGGAAUUCCAAGGAAAAUUGCCUCUUUGCAGGCUUGCCAAAGAGCAGUAAGAAGGAAAACUGCUGCAGAUGAGCAGACAUGGAAAUAUCCAGUUUCCCUUCCCAGAGAACACAUCCUGAAGAACUGUUGAAUAUUAAUACACGUUAUAACUGGUGCAACAUUGGGCAAACACUGGGAUUAAUAGGAACUACUUCUUCUGGAGGGGAUGUGUCCCAGUGUGGCCACAGAGCAGCCCUGCCUGCUGGAACCACUCUUACCUUUAAAAUGCAUCCCUGCAGAUGCAAUGUGGAAUCAGUGGGAAGUAGGGAAGGCCUACCAUGUGUGGACACACAUGUUGAGGGCAUGGGAUGCCUAUGCUUCAUGUACCAGGUGAUGAGCCCCAGGCUGUAUUAUUUUGGGGGUUUUUUUCUCUCUUUUGCAAGCUUUAGAUAAUAUGAUGGUGAUAAUAUGACACUUCUAAGCAGUGACAUAGUUGAUUUGUCUUUCACAAAGAGCCCACCUUCCUCUGUAUUCGGAUUUCUGGUAUGUGUGUGUGGAGAUGAUUUGUAUAUAAUUGUUUGCUUUUUUCAGAGUCUUUUGAAGUUUAAAUCUUCAAGCCCGCUCCCUAUAUUAAAAAUAAAUUCUUCCAAGCCACCAAUAAAAUGUCAGCUGUGAUUAAAGCCCAACUCUUCAUUUUAAGACUUGUCCCUUAAGCACUGUGAGGUCACUCAAUGAGUGAGCAUUUGAAAAGACCAGGACCAUUAUUGUUUGGGUAAAGCCCAAAGUUCAUCAUUGCUUGCUUUAAAUAGUUUCAUCACGUUUUAAAUUGCUUUGCAUUGUGCUGAAAGAAAUGUAAACUGCAGAAAUGAUUUGGCAGAUAACUUGUGAUAUUUCAGGCACCUAAAAUCUUGAAAAAAACCCUCUGUAUUAAUGUUGAAGUUGGUAUUUCUGGUAAGGAAAAGCUUUAUCUCCUGUCUAGUAAAGAGGAGGGUGAAGUGGGAAGCUGUGUUUGAGGCAUAAACUUUCAACUGUGUUCUCUUAAAAUAAAGCUUGGGAACUGUAAAAUCUCCAGACAAGGGCUCUUGUGCAGUGCCAAAGUCUGAUAGGGCUUUUCUAGACACAUGAACUUUAUUAAUUUUAUUAAAAUAGUGAAAAAAUAGAAGAGAGCAUUAAGCUGCAAGGGAAAGCCUUGAGAAGCAAGUCCAUACUAUUUUGAAGACUAUCUGUGGAGCCCAUUUAUAUUUUUUUGUGCACAUUAAUUGUAAUAGUCUUUAAUUACAUGAACACAUUUUAUUUUGUCACUUUUCCUCCCUGUUUGCUGCAGUGCAUGCUGUUAGGACUAUUUGGAGCAAUUAAUCACACCAGAGCAGCAAAUAACUUGGAGCACGACUCUGCCUUGGUCUCCAGCCUGUGUCAGUCGUGGGUCUCCCCAUUCUCUCUGCCCUUUUCCUACAUUCCUAAUUAACUCCUGCCUCAGUUCCUCACUGAUCCAUACUAACCCAAAACCCUUUGUCUUAGUGCUGUCUGGAGAAUUGGGCCUUGGUGUGGAGGAGGAAUCCAGGAACAGCAGUUGAAUGUCUUGCCCACCUUUGGAGGCUAGUAAGAGCAGAGGUGGGAGUUCAGGUCAUUUAGCUGCCACCAACCCCCCUGGAACAUGCUCAAGUGGGGAUAAUCAGAGAUUGUCAUGAAAUCUGUUGCAAAUUCUGUCAAGUUUCAAGAAUUCUCCUUACACUCUCGGGCUUCCCCAUCAACCUUUGAUUUUUUUUUUUUUUGUUAAGCAUCAGUUAAAUCUGGUGCUUCUCUCGGAGGUGGACAGGUGCAUUUGUUGAGCCCACCUUUCCCGGGCCGGGUGGGGUGCUGAGCACGCCCGGUGGCGGCUGGAGCCCUGGAGCCGGGUGAGCUCCGGCUGCUGCGGGAGCGCUGCAGCUCGGCCCGGCAGCGAUUCGGGGCGCUGCUGCUGCUGCUCCGCGCUUUCCGUGGCCGCUGCUGGGAGCCCGGCGGCUCACGGUGUGCACAUCCCUGCCCAGAUCCCCUCCGCGUGGCCUUGGCUGGGGCUGUUCCAACCCUCUCCGCCGGCCCCGGGGCGCUGUUCACCC
Molecule: non-coding RNA, 5638 nt
Organism: Cyanistes caeruleus (blue tit)
Lineage: Eukaryota; Metazoa; Chordata; Aves; Passeriformes; Paridae
Source: RefSeq, a predicted model, not a curated record